CGCACGGGUGAGUAACGCGUAUACAAUUUACCUUUUACAGGAGAAUAGCCCAGAGAAAUUUGGAUUAAUGCUCCAUGGUAUUAUUUGGCCACCUGGUCAGAUGAUUAAAGCUUCGGCGGUAGAAGAUGAGUAUGCGUCCUAUUAACUAGAUGGUAAGGUAACGGCUUACCAUGGUGACGAUAGGUAGGGGUCCUGAGAGGGAGAUCCCCCACACUGGUACUGAGACACGGACCAGACUCCUACGGGAGGCAGCAGUGAGGAAUAUUGGGCAAUGGAGGCAACUCUGACCCAGCCAUGCCGCGUGCAGGAAGACGGCCCUAUGGGUUGUAAACUGCUUUUAUAUGGGAAGAAACUUAUCCACGUGUGGAUAACUGACGGUACCAUAAGAAUAAGCACCGGCUAACUCCGUGCCAGCAGCCGCGGUGAUACGGAGGGUGCAAGCGUUAUCCGGAAUCAUUGGGUUUAAAGGGUCCGUAGGCGGGCAAUUAAGUCAGAGGUGGAAUCCCACAGCUCAACUGUGGAACUGCCUUUGAUACUGGUUGUCUUGAGUUAUAGUGAAGUAGAUAGAAUAUGUAGUGUAGCGGGUGAAAUGCUUAGAUAUUACAUAGAAUACCGAUUGCGAAGGCAGUCUACUAACUAUACACUGACGCUAAUGGACGAAAGCGUGGGGAGCGAACAGGAUUAGAUACCC
RNAcentral lists this ribosomal RNA (691 nucleotides) under uncultured bacterium. RNAcentral describes it as "bacterial SSU rRNA". It matches the Rfam family "Bacterial small subunit ribosomal RNA", at positions 99 to 787 of the family's 1533-position model. The record is from RNAcentral.